RNAcentral lists this transfer RNA (76 nucleotides) under Marmota monax (woodchuck). Its description in RNAcentral is "tRNA.Ala". Lineage: Eukaryota; Metazoa; Chordata; Mammalia; Rodentia; Sciuridae. The record is from RNAcentral.
UGCAGUACAUGUAGCCCAGUGGUGGCCUGUUUACCUAGCAUGCAUGAGGCCCUGGGUUCAAUCCCCAGUACUGCAA